RNAcentral lists this long non-coding RNA (290 nucleotides) under Panax ginseng (ginseng). Its description in RNAcentral is "long non-coding RNA (PGIN_LNC014290)". The record is from RNAcentral. Lineage: Eukaryota; Viridiplantae; Streptophyta; Magnoliopsida; Apiales; Araliaceae.
ACAUCUUAGCAGCUCAGCACCGACUCAAACAACUCAACAAAGCCAGGGACAGAAGGGUCCUUGUCUGAAGGGACUAAACAAAGCAAGGCCAGAAGGGUCCUUGUCCGGAGGGACUAAACGAAGUUCCAAGCUUGCUGGGCUUGAAGAGUUCCUAGGGAACUAGAGGAGUCCUAAGGCUGCUGGCCUUGAAGAGUUCUUAGUGAACUGAAGUCCCAAGGCUGCUGGCCUUGAAGGAAUCGUAGAGAUUCAGGGUGCUGCCCUUCCUUAGUGGAAAUCCUGCUAGUUGAAAG